Pelobates cultripes (western spadefoot toad) is the source of this 373-nucleotide non-coding RNA. NCBI's taxonomy places the organism in Eukaryota, Metazoa, Chordata, Amphibia, Anura, Pelobatidae. The record is from the annotation of a GenBank genome assembly.
AGAGACGGACAGCAUAGCUCUGUGUGUAUAGAGACGGACAGCAUAGCUCUGUGUGUAUAGAGACGGACAGCAUAGCUCUGUGUGUAUAGAGACGGACAGCAUAGCUCUGUGUAAAGAGACGGAAAGCGCAGCUCUGUGUGUAGAGAGACGGACGGCGCAGCUCUGUGUGUAGAGAGACGGACGGCGCAGCUCUGUGUGUAGAGAGACGGACGGCGCAGCUCUGUGUGUAGAGAGACGGACGGCGCAGCUCUGUGUGUAGAGAGACGGACGGCGCAGCUCUGUGUGUAGAGAGACGGACGGCGCAGCUCUGUGUGUAGAGAGACGGACGGCGCAGCUCUGUGUGUAGAGAGACGGACGGCGCAGCUCUGUGUGU